Ailuropoda melanoleuca (giant panda) is the source of this 1707-nucleotide long non-coding RNA. RefSeq lists it as uncharacterized. NCBI's taxonomy places the organism in Eukaryota, Metazoa, Chordata, Mammalia, Carnivora, Ursidae. The transcript is spliced from 3 exons. The record is from RefSeq and is a predicted model, not a curated record.
UCAAGAGUUGGAAGCUCAACUGACUGAGCCACCCAGGUGCCCCCAAAGUAAAGUGUUUUUUAAAAAGUAAAUUGGAUGAUACCACUCCCCGGCUUACAAUCUUCCAGUGGCUUACAAUUUGCCUUUGAAAUAAAAUCCAGGUGACUCUGUGGCUGACAAACCCCCUACCUACCUCUCCAGCCCCAGCUAUGCCAGUCUAGAACUUUCCACCCACGUGGGCUCCUUCUCAUCUCUGCACACAUGCCACUCAAGUCUCCCGGCCUUGCCUUUGUUCCAGCCUCUGUCUGAAAUGCCUCCUCGGAUGUCCCCUCCUUCAUCCUUGCUUGUUUCCUUCUUUUUUCUCAAAUCUCAGCUAAAGCAAUGCCAUCUCCGAGGGCCUGCCUGACUGCUGUAUCUAAUGAGUGCUCCACCCCCAUUUCUUCUGGACACAUCCUCUUUGUUUUCUUCACAGGACUUUUCUCCAUCGGAAAUUACAUCUUUACUAGUUUGCCUGUGUAUUAUUGCUCUGUCCCACUAAACUCUAAAUUCUAUUGAGGGCAAGGACUAUAUCUGUUCUCAUGUACCAACCAUAGACCUGACGUCUGGUACAAAGUAGGCCAUCAGUAAAUAUUUGAUGAAUGAAUGAAUGAAUGAAUGAAUGAAUGAAUGAAGUGCAUCUGGCUAGCAAAUGGUGAAAGUAGGAUUCAAACCCUGUAUGACUCUAGAAUCUGCGUUCUGUACCAUUAUGCUGUGAGCAAAAUGAAUCUGUCUUCGGUGGCACUGUAAUGUGAAAUGAAUUUUAUUAUAAAAAUCUAAAACUCUUUUGACAUGGGGUAAUCCAUAUGAGAACCCUUCAGUGACAACACAGUGCUCGGCUGGCCUCUGUCCUCCCAAUGAACAGUGCGGCUGGACGGCGUGAAGCAUGGCACGUUGGCAUGUUGCUUACUGAGAUGCCCAGACAAGGUCCCCUGCAGUGACUCUUUCAACUCGAUCAAAUACUCUGUGAAAUCAGAUAAAACGACUUCGGGAAAGUUACUUAACCUCUUCCGACCGCUGGUCCUUCAUCUACAAAAUAGUGAAACAACUAUUUCGUGGGAUUGCUUAGGAGGACUAAAGGAAAUCAUAGAUGAAACGCCCUCCCCGCAGCGUGAGUCUAAGGAGUACUUUUCGGAAUCACACAGUGACACUGCGCAGUGAAGGUGAACUUCGUCGUAAUCCCCAAUGAACUUGAAGACAGUGACGUGAAAGCGACAGGUUAGGGAGACGGCGUUCUCCUCGAUGCCAAUGGUGUUAUCUUUAAUGUUCUGGCACCUAUGCAGGAGAAAAUGGAAUCUUUGCUUCACACACUGGCUUCCGCUUCAUAUAAAACUGUCAUGAUAGGUCACAAAGCCCUCAUGUGCCAGGGGCUCUCUCCUGCAGGAAAGGAGCAUCCUUAUCUCCAAAGACAGAGGGACACCAAGAAGAACGCUAACUAAGAGGCUUUGCUAAGUUCCCCCAGUUUACUACACUUACCCAUACACUUUGCCCUCCCCUCCUUCUCCGUGGCUGUCCCUCUUUGUCUAACCUAGCAGAAAACACUCAGGCUCGACCACUUCUUUAUGUCCCCAUUUCCUUAUGGAAGUUUCUGCGCUUCCUAUAUGAAAUAAAUGUGUAUGCUUCUCUCUUGUUAGCCUGUCUUUAAUUUUCACAGCCAGCCAGAACUACUGUUACUUGACAUAACCCUUUUUU